Molecule: ribosomal RNA, 402 nt
Filed under: uncultured bacterium
Lineage: Bacteria
Description: bacterial SSU rRNA
Rfam family: Bacterial small subunit ribosomal RNA
Source: RNAcentral
GAAUAUUGCACAAUGGGCGCAAGCCUGCUGCAGCGACGCCGCGUGGGUGAAGAAGGUUUUCGGAUCGUAAAGCCCUUUUCUGUGUGACGAGACAAGGACGGUAGCACAGGAAUAAGUGUCGGCUAACUACGUGCCAGCAGCCGCGGUAAAACGUAGGACACAAGCGUUAUCCGGAGUUACUGGGCGUAAAGGGCGUGCAGGCGGUUUCUUAAGUCAGGCGUGAAACCAUUCGGCUAAACCGGGUGUAGUCGUCUGAGACUGGGAGACUUGAGUGUGGUAGAGGCGUGUAGAAUUCCGGGUGUAGUGGUGAAAUGCGUAGAUAUCCGGAGGAAUACCAGUGGCGAAGGCGGCACGCUGGGCCAUAGCUGACGCUAAGACGCGAAAGCAUGGGUAGCGAACGGG